Molecule: ribosomal RNA, 253 nt
Filed under: uncultured bacterium
Lineage: Bacteria
Description: partial 16S ribosomal RNA
Rfam family: Bacterial small subunit ribosomal RNA
Source: RNAcentral
UACGUAGGGGGCUAGCGUUGUCCGGAUUUAUUGGGCGUAAAGAGCGUGUAGGCGGCCAGGUAGGUCUGCUGUGAAAACUCGAGGCUCAACCUCGAGACGUCGGCGGAAACCAUCUGGCUAGAGUCCGAAAGAGGAGAGUGGAAUUCCUGGUGUAGCGGUGAAAUGCGCAGAUAUCAGGAAGAACACCCGUGGCGAAGGCGGCUCUCUGGGACGGUACUGACGCUGAGACGCGAAAGCGUGGGGAGCGAACAGG